AGUGAACGCUGGCGGCGUGCCUAAUACAUGCAAGUCGAACGGAAUUUAAAAGAGCUUGCUCUUUUAAAUUUAGUGGCGCACGGGUGAGUAAUAUAUAGCUAAUCUGCCCCUUGCUGGAGGACAACAGUUAGAAAUGACUGCUAAUACUCCAUACUCCUUUUUACCAUAAGAUAAAUCGGGAAAGAAUUUCGGCAAGGGAUGAGACUAUAUCGUAUCAGCUAGUCGGUGGGGUAACGGCCUACCGAGGCUAUGACGCGUAACUGGUCUGAGAGGAUGAUCAGUCACAUUGGAACUGAGACACGGUCCAAACUCCUACGGGAGGCAGCAGUAGGGAAUAUUGCGCAAUGGGGGAAACCCUGACGCAGCAACGCCGCGUGGAGGAUGACACUUUUCGGAGCGUAAACUCCUUUUGUUAGGGAAGAAUAAUGACGGACCUAACGAUAGCCC
This 447-nucleotide ribosomal RNA is filed under the name Campylobacter gracilis. RNAcentral describes it as "bacterial SSU rRNA". It matches the Rfam family "Bacterial small subunit ribosomal RNA", at positions 29 to 493 of the family's 1533-position model. Lineage: Bacteria; Pseudomonadati; Campylobacterota; Epsilonproteobacteria; Campylobacterales; Campylobacteraceae. The record is from RNAcentral.